GCAGCCGCGGUAAUACGGGGGAUGCAAGCGUUAUCCGGAUUUAUUGGGUUUAAAGGGUGCGUAGGCGGUCUGGUAAGUCAGCGGUGAAAUUUCAGGGCUCAACCUUGAACGUGCCGUUGAUACUGUCAGACUAGAAUGCGGAUGCCGUGGGAGGAAUGUGUGGUGUAGCGGUGAAAUGCAUAGAUAUCACACAGAACACCGAUUGCGAAGGCAUCUCACGAAUCCGCAAUUGACGCUGAGGCACGAAAGCGUGGGGAUCAAACAGGAUUAGAUACCCC
This 278-nucleotide ribosomal RNA is filed under the name uncultured Oscillospiraceae bacterium. RNAcentral describes it as "partial 16S ribosomal RNA". It matches the Rfam family "Bacterial small subunit ribosomal RNA", at positions 511 to 788 of the family's 1533-position model. Lineage: Bacteria; Bacillati; Bacillota; Clostridia; Eubacteriales; Oscillospiraceae. The record is from RNAcentral.